This is a regulatory RNA element of Bacillus sp. FJAT-18017, 106 nucleotides long. It matches the Rfam family "S10-Clostridia ribosomal protein leader". NCBI's taxonomy places the organism in Bacteria, Bacillati, Bacillota, Bacilli, Caryophanales, Bacillaceae. The record is from Rfam.
UGACUGCGAUGAUGUGAGAGGUUGCUGAUACACCCGGCCGCUUUGCCAUGGCGAGUGUAAUCAGGGGAUUUUCACUGAGAAUGUCUAUUUUGAAAAUAGGCGAAAA